AAUUUGGGGAGUCUAGCCUACCUUGUUCGUGCAAAUACAACGAUGAAGUGGAGCUUGCUCCACGGAUUAGUGGCGAACGGGUGAGGAACACGUGAGAAACCUGCCUCGGAUUUUGGGAUAACAAAUGGAAACGUUUGCUAAUACCAAAUAACGUCGGAGAGUCACAUGACUUUCUGACGAAAGGAAUUCCGAUUCGAGAGGGUCUCGCGGCCUAUCAGCUUGUUGGCGGGGUAAUGGCCCACCAAGGCAACGACGGGUAGCUGGUCUGAGAGGAUGGUCAGCCACACUGGGACUGAGACACGGCCCAGACUCCUACGGGAGGCAGCAGUGGGGAAUCUUGCGCAAUGGGCGAAAGCCUGACGCAGCAACGCCGCGUGCGGGAAGAAGGCUUUCGGGCUGUAAACCGCUU
Molecule: ribosomal RNA, 409 nt
Filed under: uncultured Actinomycetes bacterium
Lineage: Bacteria; Bacillati; Actinomycetota; Actinomycetes
Description: bacterial SSU rRNA
Rfam family: Bacterial small subunit ribosomal RNA
Source: RNAcentral